Molecule: ribosomal RNA, 277 nt
Filed under: uncultured Staphylococcus sp.
Lineage: Bacteria; Bacillati; Bacillota; Bacilli; Caryophanales; Staphylococcaceae
Description: partial 16S ribosomal RNA
Rfam family: Bacterial small subunit ribosomal RNA
Source: RNAcentral
CUCUUGACGUAGCGCGGACGGGUGAGUAACACGUGGGUAACCUACCUAUAAGACUGGGAUAACUUCGGGAAACCGGAGCUAAUACCGGAUAAUAUUUCGAACCGCAUGGUUCGAUAGUGAAAGGUGGUUUUGCUAUCACUUAUAGAUGGACCCGCGCCGUAUUAGCUAGUUGGUAAGGUAACGGCUUACCAAGGCGACGAUACGUAGCCGACCUGAGAGGGUGAUCGGCCACACUGGAACUGAGACACGGUCCAGACUCCUACGGGAGGCAGCAGGC